RNAcentral lists this unclassified non-coding RNA (348 nucleotides) under soil metagenome. RNAcentral describes it as "partial contains 5.8S ribosomal RNA, internal transcribed spacer 2, and large subunit ribosomal RNA". The stretch from base 1 to 120 matches the Rfam family "5.8S ribosomal RNA", at positions 35 to 154 of the family's 154-position model. The record is from RNAcentral.
GAUGAAGAACGUAGCGAAAUGCGAUAAGUAAUGUGAAUUGCAGAAUUCAGUGAAUCAUCGAGUCUUUGAACGCACAUUGCGCCCCCUGGUAUUCCGGGGGGCAUGCCUGUCCGAGCGUCAUUGCUGCCCUCAAGCACGGCUUGUGUGUUGGGCCCCCGUCCCCGGUUUCCCCCGGGGACGGGCCCGAAAGGCAGCGGCGGCACCGCGUCCGGUCCUCGAGCGUAUGGGGCUUUGUCACCCGCUCUGUAGGCCCGGCCGGCGCCAGCCGACACCCAACUUUAUUUCUAAGGUUGACCUCGGAUCAGGUAGGGAUACCCGCUGAACUUGAGCAUAUCAAUAAGCGGAGGA